GACGAACGCUGGCGGCGUGCCUAACACAUGCAAGUCGAACGGGACCAGGGGCAACUCUGGUUCAGUGGCGGACGGGUGCGUAACACGUGAGGAACAUGACCCUUCGGCGGGGGAGUAGCCGGCCCAACGGCCGGGUAAUACCGCGUACGACCUUCCGGGGACAUCCCUGGAUAGUGAAAGCAGCAAUGCGCCGAUGGAGUGCCUCGCGGCCUAUCAGCUAGUUGGUGAGGUAACGGCUCACCAAGGCAACGACGGGUAGCUGGUCUGAGAGGAUGGCCAGCCACAUUGGGACUGAGACACGGCCCAGACUCCUACGGGAGGGCAGCAGUGGGGAAUAUUGCGCAAUGGACGAAAGUACUGACGCAGCGACGCCGCGUGUGGGAGUGACGGUCUUCGGAUUGUAAACCAACUGUCGGGAGGGACGAAUACGCCGCAAGGCGGGUG
This 444-nucleotide ribosomal RNA is filed under the name uncultured bacterium. Its description in RNAcentral is "bacterial SSU rRNA". It matches the Rfam family "Bacterial small subunit ribosomal RNA", at positions 28 to 471 of the family's 1533-position model. The record is from RNAcentral.